AGGGAUGUAGUGCAACUUGGUAGCAUAUUUGUUUUGGGUACAAAAUGUCACAAGUUCAAAUCCUGUUAUCCCUA
This is a non-coding RNA of Picea glauca (white spruce), 74 nucleotides long. Lineage: Eukaryota; Viridiplantae; Streptophyta; Pinopsida; Pinales; Pinaceae. The record is from Rfam.